GCUUGGUGGCAUUGGAGAAGAGGAAAUACCUGAUCCCAUCCCGAACUCAGAAGUCAAGCUCUUUAUCGCCGAUGGUACUACACACGAGAGUGUGGGAGAGUAGGUCGUCGCCAAGUC
This 117-nucleotide ribosomal RNA is filed under the name Parachlamydia acanthamoebae UV-7. The record is from RNAcentral. Lineage: Bacteria; Pseudomonadati; Chlamydiota; Chlamydiia; Parachlamydiales; Parachlamydiaceae.